RNAcentral lists this long non-coding RNA (742 nucleotides) under Hordeum vulgare. RNAcentral describes it as "long non-coding RNA (HVUL_LNC012549)". The record is from RNAcentral. Lineage: Eukaryota; Viridiplantae; Streptophyta; Magnoliopsida; Poales; Poaceae.
UGCGCUUCUAUUCCUUUUAUUCAGCUGGGAAAACUAACGUGCCGCGGCUAUCUCUACGACCUUACUAAGUCGUGCCAUCCCACGACUUGGAUCGAGCGCACGGCUCUCCUAAGGACUCGGGACGCGGACGCACAGAUCGCGCCGUCGUCAGACUAAAACAACCGAAGAAAGACUCUAAAGAAACCUGAAACUUAUUUCAACAUCAACUGCCGGCAAAAUUUAGACUAAGCUAGUCCUCGUGCACGACGUCGACAUGUGCCGCGGCGGUCAUCGGUGACGCCAUGCAGAUUGGGAUCUCGCGGUCAAGCAGUGCAACGAUGGCCUUGAUGGCCGUCAGGGAGAGGGGCGCAACAAAUAUAUCGUCGUAGGCCUUCAUCUCUGCAGCGGUGAUCUUCUGAUCGAGCCCGAUUGUCCCGAGUGUGCGCAGAUUCUGAACUUGAACGCGUCGCUGGCCUGUGGGGGCGCGCCCAUAGCGCAGGUGGGCAGUCGCAGAUCGCCUGCGGCAGGGGGUGAAGUUGAGAGGCCGGCGUGGCUUCUUCCCCGGUGAGAGCGGCGUUCAACUUGUUUGUCGCAGCGGCCAGGAACUGAAUGUAUCAAGUGCUAAUACAUGGAUAUGCUUUGUCACUUUUGUAUGCCGACUCCAUCCAUGUAGCGCCCUUCUGGAUGCCUUCCUAGUGUAAUUAUCUCACCUUCAGAAAAUCGCAUUUGCUUUCUCACCUUCGUUUAUUUUGAUAGUGGAAUG